CAAGGCAACGAUGCAUAGCCGACCUGAGAGGGUGAUCGGCCACACUGGAACUGAGACACGGUCCAGACUCCUACGGGAGGCAGCAGUAGGGAAUCUUCCGCAAUGGGCGAAAGCCUGACGGAGCAACGCCGCGUGAGUGAUGAAGGUCUUCGGAUCGUAAAACUCUGUUAUUAGGGAAGAACAUAUGUGUAAGUAACUGUGCACAUCUUGACGGUACCUAAUCAGAAAGCCACGGCUAACUACGUGCCAGCAGCCGCGGUAAUACGUAGGUGGCAAGCGUUAUCCGGAAUUAUUGGGCGUAAAGCGCGCGUAGGCGGUUUUUUAAGUCUGAUGUGAAAGCCCACGGCUCAACCGUGGAGGGUCAUUGGAAACUGGAAAACUUGAGUGCAGAAGAGGAAAGUGGAAUUCCAUGUGUAGCGGUGAAAUGCGCAGAGAUAUGGAGGAACACCAGUGGCGAAGGCGACUUUCUGGUCUGUAACUGACGCUGAUGUGCGAAAGCGUGGGGAUCAAACAGGAUUAGAUACCCUGGUAGUCCACGCCGUAAA
Molecule: ribosomal RNA, 545 nt
Filed under: Staphylococcus aureus
Lineage: Bacteria; Bacillati; Bacillota; Bacilli; Caryophanales; Staphylococcaceae
Description: bacterial SSU rRNA
Rfam family: Bacterial small subunit ribosomal RNA
Source: RNAcentral